CGCUAGCGGCAGGCUUAACACAUGCAAGUCGAGGGGUAACAUUGGUGCUUGCAUCAGAUGACGACCGGCGCACGGGUGAGUAACGCGUAUGUAACCUACCUAUCACAGGGGGAUAGCCCGGAGAAAUUCGGAUUAAUACCGCAUAGUUUUGAGAUAUUGCAUGAUAUUUCAAAUAAAAUUUCGGUGGUGAUAGAUGGACAUGCGUAUGAUUAGUUAGUUGGUGAGGUAACGGCUCACCAAGGCGACGAUCAUUAGGGGUUCUGAGAGGAAGGUCCCCCACACUGGUACUGAGACACGGACCAGACUCCUACGGGAGGCAGCAGUGAGGAAUAUUGGUCAAUGGACGGAAGUCUGAACCAGCCAUGCCGCGUGCAGGAUGACUGCCCUAAUGGGUUGUAAACUGCUUUUCUGAAGGAAGAAAUGUACCCUACGUGUAGGUAUUUGCCGGUACUUCAGGAAUAAGGAUCGGCUAACUCCGUGCCAGCAGCCCCGGUAAUACGGAGGAUCCGAGCGUUAUCCGGAUU
This 524-nucleotide ribosomal RNA is filed under the name uncultured bacterium. RNAcentral's name for it is "bacterial SSU rRNA". It matches the Rfam family "Bacterial small subunit ribosomal RNA", at positions 34 to 551 of the family's 1533-position model. The record is from RNAcentral.